Molecule: ribosomal RNA, 301 nt
Filed under: uncultured bacterium
Lineage: Bacteria
Description: partial 16S ribosomal RNA
Rfam family: Bacterial small subunit ribosomal RNA
Source: RNAcentral
CAGUCGCCACGGUAAUACGAAGGGGGCUAGCGUUAAUCGGAAUCACUGGGCGUAAAGCGUGCGCAGGCGGUUCGUUAGGACAGAUGUGAAAUCCCCGGGCUUAACCUAGGAACUGCAUUUGUGACUGGCGAGCUAGAGUAUGGCAGAGGGGGGUAGAAUUCCACGUGUAGCAGUGAAAUGCGUAGAGAUGUGGAGGAAUACCGAUGGCGAAGGCAGCCCCCUGGGCCAAUACUGACGCUCAUGCACGAAAGCGUGGGGAGCAAACAGGAUUAGAUACCCCGGUAGUCCCUGUCUCUUAUAC